GAUGAACGCUGGCGGCGUGCCUAAUACAUGCAAGUCGAGCGAACAGACGAGGAGCUUGCUCCUCUGACGUUAGCGGCGGACGGGUGAGUAACACGUGGAUAACCUCCCUAUAAGACUGGGAUAACUUCGGGAAACCGGAGCUAAUACCGGAUAAUCUAUUGAACCGCAUGGUUCAAUAGUGAAAGACGGUUUUGUUGUCACUUAUAGAUGGAUCCGCGCCGCAUUAGCUAGUUAGUAAGGUAACGGCUUACCAAGGCAACGAGUCGUAGCCGACCUGAAAGAGGGAUCGGCCACACUGGAACGUGAACUCGGUCCAGACGCCUACGGGAGGCAGCAGUAGGGAAUCUUCCGCAAUGGGCGAAAGCCUAACGUAGCAACGCCGCGUGAGAGAUGAAGGUCUUCGGAUCGGAAAACUCUGUUAUGAGGUAAGAACAAAUGUGGAAGUAACUAUGCACGUCUUGACGGUACCUAGUCAGAAAGCCACGGCUAACUACGUG
RNAcentral lists this ribosomal RNA (497 nucleotides) under uncultured bacterium. RNAcentral describes it as "partial 16S ribosomal RNA". It matches the Rfam family "Bacterial small subunit ribosomal RNA", at positions 28 to 507 of the family's 1533-position model. The record is from RNAcentral.